This 1281-nucleotide ribosomal RNA is filed under the name metagenome. Its description in RNAcentral is "SSU rRNA". It matches the Rfam family "Eukaryotic small subunit ribosomal RNA", at positions 586 to 1823 of the family's 1831-position model. The record is from RNAcentral.
CAGCUCUUUUAGCGUACAUUAUCAUUGUUGCAGUUAAAAAGCUCGUAGUUGGAUUUUUGUUUCUAGUUGCUCGGUUCUCCGCGGCGGCAUUUGUCGUCGUGUGAGAGCUGGCCGGAGACAUUUCUCGUCGUUCGUCGUGGCAACACGGCGGAAGGCGAAAUUACUUUGAGAAAAAUAGAGUGUUCCAAGCAGGCGUCACGCCACGAAUACUUCAGCAUGGAAUAAAACCAACGGGCUUUCGUCCUUUUGGUGGGUUCUGGACCAAGUCAUGAUUGAUAGGGACGGUUGGGGGUGCUCGUAUUCCGGGGCCAGAGGUGAAAUUCUUGGAUUCUCGGAAGACGAACAACUGCGAAAGCAUUCACCAAGGACGUUUUCUUUAAUCAAGAACGAAAGUUGGGGGACCGAAGACGAUCAGAUACCGUCGUAGUCUCAACCAUAAACGAUGCCAACUGAGAAUUCUUUCCAGUCUCUCGUGGGACACGUGCCGCAAGGUAACGGCCCACGAAUCGACGGAAGGGGCGCUCUGUGAGAAAUCAAAGUUUUCGGGUUCCGGGGAGAGUAUUGUCGCAAGGCACAAAUUUAAAGGAAUUGAUGGGAGUUUAUCAUCGGGAAUGGAUUGUGCGGCUCAAAUUGACUCAACACGGGAAAACUUACCAGGUCCGUACAGAGUGAGGAGAAACAGACUGAAGUUCUUUUUUGAUUCUUUGGGUGGUGGUGCAUGGCCGUUCUUAGUUGGUGGUGUGGACUGUCUGGUUAAUUCCGUUAACGAACGAGACUUCUACCCUGAAUUUACAUUAUAACUAGUUUUCAAUGUCUGUCAAAGGACAUUUUUUCAUACGAUAAACUUCUUAGGGGGACUAUGUGCAAUAAGCUCAUGGAGGCGGGAAGCGAUAGCAGGUCAUUGAUGCCCUUAGAAAACCUGGGCCGCACGCGCAAUACACUGGACGGAUCAGCGUGUUCAUAGUUUCUCGUUGUGGGGCAACUUGCAGCGAGAAAACCUUGUUCGAGAGGACCGGGAAAUCAUUUAAAUCCGUCCGUGCUGGGGAUUGAGCAUUGCAAUUAUUGCUCAUGAACGAGGAAUUCCUUGUAAACGUACGUCAUCAGCGUACAUCGAAUACAUCCCUUGACUUUAUACACACCGCCCGUCGCUGUUACCGAUUGAAUGUUUUAGUGAGCUGUGAGGAGAAGAGUUGGGCAACUGAUUUUCCGAAUCACAUCAAACUUGAACAUUUAGAGGAAGCAAAAGUCGUAACAAGGUCCCCGUAGGUGAACCUGCGGGGG